RNAcentral lists this non-coding RNA (30 nucleotides) under Homo sapiens (human). Lineage: Eukaryota; Metazoa; Chordata; Mammalia; Primates; Hominidae. The record is from RNAcentral.
UCCGUGGAAAAGUCAGGAACAGGUACUAGG